Molecule: ribosomal RNA, 557 nt
Filed under: Sphingomonas sp. RDB-010
Lineage: Bacteria; Pseudomonadati; Pseudomonadota; Alphaproteobacteria; Sphingomonadales; Sphingomonadaceae
Also listed under: 38 other names
Description: bacterial SSU rRNA
Rfam family: Bacterial small subunit ribosomal RNA
Source: RNAcentral
ACGGGUGCGUAACGCGUGGGAAUCUGCCCUUGGGUUCGGAAUAACAGUGAGAAAUUACUGCUAAUACCGAAUGAUGACGUAAGUCCAAAGAUUUAUCGCCCAGGGAUGAGCCCGCGUAGGAUUAGCUAGUUGGUGAGGUAAAAGCUCACCAAGGCGACGAUCCUUAGCUGGUCUGAGAGGAUGAUCAGCCACACUGGGACUGAGACACGGCCCAGACUCCUACGGGAGGCAGCAGUGGGGAAUAUUGGACAAUGGGCGAAAGCCUGAUCCAGCAAUGCCGCGUGAGUGAUGAAGGCCUUAGGGUUGUAAAGCUCUUUUACCCGGGAUGAUAAUGACAGUACCGGGAGAAUAAGCUCCGGCUAACUCCGUGCCAGCAGCCGCGGUAAUACGGAGGGAGCUAGCGUUAUUCGGAAUUACUGGGCGUAAAGCGCACGUAGGCGGCUUUGUAAGUUAGAGGUGAAAGCCUGGAGCUCAACUCCAGAACUGCCUUUAAGACUGCAUCGCUUGAAUCCAGGAGAGGUGAGUGGAAUUCCGAGUGUAGAGGUGAAAUUCGUAGA